AGUCAUCAACCCGAUCCGUUUUCUUGCGAAGCGGAGCGCGGUUGGAUAUGGGGCGUGCCGCCGAGAGGCGGCUCCCCUCAAAUGCGUCGGUCGGACCUGUGGUCGGACUCGAUUGGGCGUUGUACCAUCCUCGCUCUCCCGAGACGUCCCCUACCGUGUCCCUCCCUGACCUGCCUGUGGAGCGGCGGUCUAAUGCAAACUUUGAA
This 206-nucleotide unclassified non-coding RNA is filed under the name uncultured Trechisporales. RNAcentral describes it as "sequence contains ITS2". Lineage: Eukaryota; Fungi; Basidiomycota; Agaricomycetes; Trechisporales. The record is from RNAcentral.